GCCAGUGUGGUGCAGUGGGUUCAGGAUUGGACUAGGACUCAGGAAACUAGGGUUCAAAUCCCUGCUCAGUCA
Non-coding RNA from Phrynosoma platyrhinos (Desert horned lizard), 72 nucleotides. The record is from the annotation of a GenBank genome assembly. Lineage: Eukaryota; Metazoa; Chordata; Lepidosauria; Squamata; Phrynosomatidae.